Molecule: ribosomal RNA, 445 nt
Filed under: uncultured bacterium
Lineage: Bacteria
Description: bacterial SSU rRNA
Rfam family: Bacterial small subunit ribosomal RNA
Source: RNAcentral
GUAAGGAAUAUUGGACAAUGGGCGAGAGCCUGAUCCAGCCAUGCCGCGUGCAGGAAGACGGCCCUAUGGGUUGUAAACUGCUUUUGUACCAGAGAAAACCUAUCUACGUGUAGAUAGCUGAUAGUAUGGUAAGAAUAAGCAUCGGCUAACUUCGUGCCAGCAGCCGCGGUAAGACGAAGGAUGCAAGCGUUAUCCGGAUUCAUUGGGUUUAAAGGGUGCGUAGGCGGGCUUGUAAGUCAGUGGUGAAAUCUCUCAGCUUAACUGAGAAACUGCCAUUGAUACUGCAGGUCUAGAGUAUAGAUGACGUUGGCGGAAUACGACAUGUAGAGGUGAAAUUCUUAGAUAUGUCGUGGAACACCGAUUGCGAAGGCAGCUAACGAAACUAUAACUGACGCUGAGGCACGAAAGUGCGGGGAUCAAACAGGAUUAGAUACCCCGGUAGUCC